CUCAGGACGAACGCUGGCGGCGUGCUUAACACAUGCAAGUCGAACGGUGAAGAGGAGCUUGCUCCUCCGAUCAGUGGCGAACGGGUGAGUAACACGUGAGCAAUCUGCCCCUGACUCCGGGAUAAGCGUUGGAAACGACGUCUAAUACCGGAUACGACCUCCGCCGGCAUCUGCUGGAGGUGGAAAGAACUUCGGUCAGGGAUGAGCUCGCGGCCUAUCAGCUUGUUGGCGGGGUAACGGCCCACCAAGGCGACGACGGGUAGCCGGCCUGAGAGGGUGACCGGCCACACUGGGACUGAGACACGGCCCAGACUCCUACGGGAGGCAGCAGUGGGGAAUAUUGCACAAUGGGCGCAAGCCUGAUGCAGCAACGCCGCGUGAGGGACGACGGCCUUCGGGUUGUAAACCUCUUUUGGCAGGGAAGAAGCGAAAGUGACGGUACCUGCAGAAAAAGCACCGGCUAACUACGUGCCAGCAGCCGCGGUAAUACGUAGGGUGCAAGCGUUGUCCGGAAUUAUUGGGCGUAAAGAGCUCGUAGGCGGUUUGUCGCGUCUGCUGUGAAAACCCGAGGCUCAACCUCGGGCCUGCAGUGGGUACGGGCAGACUAGAGUGCGGUAGGGGAGACUGGAAUUCCUGGUGUAGCGGUGGAAUGCGCAGAUAUCAGGAGGAACACCGAUG
This 678-nucleotide ribosomal RNA is filed under the name uncultured bacterium. Its description in RNAcentral is "bacterial SSU rRNA". It matches the Rfam family "Bacterial small subunit ribosomal RNA", at positions 23 to 714 of the family's 1533-position model. The record is from RNAcentral.